This 1603-nucleotide long non-coding RNA is filed under the name Sus scrofa (pig). RNAcentral's name for it is "lncRNA (ENSSSCG00055015988.1)". Lineage: Eukaryota; Metazoa; Chordata; Mammalia; Artiodactyla; Suidae. The record is from RNAcentral.
UUUUUUUUUGGUGCUUUUUAAGGCUGCACCCACAGCAUAUGGAGCAGCCCAAGAAAUGGCAAAAAGACAAAAAAUAAAAAAAUAAAAAAAAUAUAAGUGCUUGAAGUACGUAGGUACGUGGGGAAGGGGCGGAGAGCAGUGGGGAAGGUGCAGGCGGGAGGCAGAAGUGACGGAUGAGGGGGCCACAGGCAGGUCAGGUGACUUCUGGGUUUACCUCACUCAAAUGGACCCCCAGCAAUGCUUUUACCUGGAGUCCUAGAGGAAGCAGAUAGGCUGACAAAGGUUGUCCACGGGUCAUUCAUGUGGUGAGGAAAAAGAAGGGGGGGGGGGNGGGACCUGGUUUUAGGGGUUUUGUUUUUUUUUUUGCCCUUCUCAGGGCAAUACCCGCAGCAUAUGGAGGUUCCCAGGCUAAGGGUCCAAUUUGAGCUACAGCUGCUAGCCUAUGCCAGAGCCUCGGCAAGGCCAGAUCUGAGCCGCAUCUGUGACCUACACCACAACUAACGGCAACACCGGAUCCUUAACCCAUCAAGCAAGGCCAGGGAUUGAACCGGCGUCCUCAUGGAUAUUAGCUGGUUCAUCACCACUGAGCCGCAUCAGGAACUCCUGCAAUCGCCAGUUUCCAAAUGACAGCUUCUACCAAACUGCAGUGUGAGUUCCAAGCUCUGUGGCUGGUGGACAGCCCUGGACCAGCACCUGCCAGCCGCCGCCGCCUCCUCCUCUCCAGCCCAGCUCUAAAGCCCCUGCUCGGCUGCUGCUCCCUCUGCCGGAGGUGUCCCGCCUUCCUGCCUCUGAGGACCUGCACACGGGGUGUCCGGAUCCCUCCUCCAGCCUGUGUCUUCAGUCUCUUGCCUCAGAGAAGACGGUCCAGCUCAGCCUCCAGCCAGGAGCAGCCUCUGUUCACCCACCACCCCCGUUCCUACCAGUGAGCCCUAUGCCCACAGCAGACCCCUAGUCCCAGCAGCGACUCCACUGCUCACUUGUCACCUCCCUCUGAUAGCCUCCUUCUCCCCUGCUCCUUUCCUCUGGCCUCAGCUACGCUCCUCCUCCAGUCCGACUCUCCCACGGUCCCAGGGAGGCCCAAGGCUGUGGCCUCUGCUUGCUCCCCCCUCUCCAGCUAGAACUCACAAACCCCAGCUGCUGGUUCUCUUUCCUCCUGGAAGGGACGGGUGCCAAGAAUAACCUCUGCUGCCUCACAAGUCGGAGGAGGACCGAGAAGCCGCAGACGUGAUGGAAACAGGGCUGGAUCUCAGGGUGUGAGGACCCCCACGGCACAGACGUGGAGCUGGCACACCUGCAGACCUCCAGCAGGACACGCUCUUGACACAGGCAGAAAAGGCGCCUUCCUGACAUCUGCCACCACUCGUGAUCCCAAAGAGAAGUCUCUGCUCUACCACCACCAAGCCCAAGAGACGAAACCAACGCUGGAAAGGGAAGAGAGAGGAAGAUGGGCUUCGGGGGCUGCAGGCCAGCUCCACCAGGAUUCUUCAUCUUGGCACCACUGACAGCUAAGGUUGGGUCAUCUUUGUUGUGAGCCCUGCCCUCUGCAUUACGGUGUUAGCCGCAUCUCUGGCCUCUACUGACUAGCUGCAUCUCCAGUUCUGAU